GCGGAUGUGGUGCAUGGUGCACGACUGCUUUCAAUCGUUGGUCUUCAGCACACUGCAUUUGACGCAGUUUGACGGGGUUCGAUUCCCUGCGCCCGCU
This is a non-coding RNA of Mycena metata, 97 nucleotides long. NCBI's taxonomy places the organism in Eukaryota, Fungi, Basidiomycota, Agaricomycetes, Agaricales, Mycenaceae. The record is from the annotation of a GenBank genome assembly.